Molecule: long non-coding RNA, 258 nt
Filed under: Elaeis guineensis (African oil palm)
Lineage: Eukaryota; Viridiplantae; Streptophyta; Magnoliopsida; Arecales; Arecaceae
Description: long non-coding RNA (EGUI_LNC001329)
Source: RNAcentral
AUCAGAUGAGUGGUCAUGGCAAAUGAGAUUUCUGAUUAUCACUGUUGCGGUCAAUCGCCUCGUCGUCCGAUCGCCGGGGAACGUGCACCUGCAAAAACGAGAAGUCCACACUGACCGGAGGCGGCUCCGGCGGGGACCCUCCGACGGUCAAGUCAGAGAGGUGACUGGGCAACAGUGAAAUGAAGACAGAGAGCUCAAUCGAGGGAGAGAGGGAGAGAGGAGCGAGCCUGUGGUUUUGGAGUCGAGAAGUGGGGGGAG